AAGUCGUAACAAGGUUUCCGUAGGUGAACCUGCGGAAGGAUCAUUAAUGAAUGCUGGUCUUUGGGACCGAUUCUCACACCCGUGCUCUGUUUGGAGGGAAUGUUCAAACAGGAUUUUAUUUCCUUCAAGGUUGAUGUCGUCUGAGAAAUCCAUCGUGUUGUGCGAUGUAGAAGAAAAAAUGAAAACUAUGAACAACGGAUCUCUAGGCUCUU
This 212-nucleotide unclassified non-coding RNA is filed under the name Phylloporus sp. RNAcentral describes it as "partial contains small subunit ribosomal RNA, internal transcribed spacer 1, and 5.8S ribosomal RNA". The stretch from base 1 to 46 matches the Rfam family "Eukaryotic small subunit ribosomal RNA", at positions 1786 to 1831 of the family's 1831-position model. Lineage: Eukaryota; Fungi; Basidiomycota; Agaricomycetes; Boletales; Boletaceae. The record is from RNAcentral.